UUUGGAUCAGUGGCGAACGGGUGAGUAACACGUGAGCAAUCUGCCCUUGACUCUGGGAUAAGCGUUGGAAACGACGUCUAAUACCGGAUACGACCCUCGGAGGCAUCUUCAGGGGGUGGAAAGAAUUUUGGUCAAGGAUGAGCUCGCGGCCUAUCAGCUUGUUGGUGAGGUAAUGGCUCACCAAGGCGACGACGGGUAGCCGGCCUGAGAGGGUGACCGGCCACACUGGGACUGAGACACGGCCCAGACUCCUACGGGAGGCAGCAGUGGGGAAUAUUGCACAAUGGGCGCAAGCCUGAUGCAGCAACGCCGCGUGAGGGACGACGGCCUUCGGGUUGUAAACCUCUUUUAGUAGGGAAGAAGCGAAAGUGACGGUACCUGCAGAAAAAGCACCGGCUAACUACGUGCCAGCAGCCGCGGUAAUACGUAGGGUGCAAGCGUUGUCCGGAAUUAUUGGGCGUAAAGAGCUCGUAGGCGGUUUGUCGCGUCUGCUGUGAAAACCCGAGGCUCAACCUCGGGCCUGCAGUGGGUACGGGCAGACUAGAGUGCGGUAGGGGAGAUUGGAAUUCCUGGUGUAGCGGUGGAAUGCGCAGAUAUCAGGAGGAACACCGAUGGCGAAGGCAGAUCUCUGGGCCGUAACUGACGCUGAGGAGCGAAAGCAUGGGGAGCGAACAGGAUUAGAUACCCUGGUAGUCCAUGCCGUAAACGUUGGGAACUAGAUGUGGGGGCCAUUCCACGGUCUCCGUGUCGCAGCUAACGCAUUAAGUUCCCCGCCUGGGGAGUACGGCCGCAAGGCUAAAACUCAAAGGAAUUGACGGGGGCCCGCACAAGCGGCGGAGCAUGCGGAUUAAUUCGAUGCAACGCGAAGAACCUUACCAAGGCUUGACAUAUACCGGAAACGUCUGGAAACAGUCGCCCCGCAAGGUCGGUAUACAGGUGGUGCAUGGUUGUCGUCAGCUCGUGUCGUGAGAUGUUGGGUUAAGUCCCGCAACGAGCGCAACCCUCGUCCUAUGUUGCCAGCACGUAAUGGUGGGAACUCAUGGGAUACUGCCGGGGUCAACUCGGAGGAAGGUGGGGAUGACGUCAAAUCAUCAUGCCCCUUAUGUCUUGGGCUUCACGCAUGCUACAAUGGCCGGUACAAAGGGCUGCAAUACCGUAAGGUGGAGCGAAUCCCAAAAAGCCGGUCUCAGUUCGGAUUGAGGUCUGCAACUCGACCUCAUGAAGUCGGAGUCGCUAGUAAUCGCAGAUCAGCAACGCUGCGGUGAAUACGUUCCCGGGCCUUGUACACACCGCCCGUCAAGUCAUGAAAGUCGGUAACACCCGAAGCC
RNAcentral lists this ribosomal RNA (1328 nucleotides) under Cryobacterium sp. RNAcentral's name for it is "bacterial SSU rRNA". It matches the Rfam family "Bacterial small subunit ribosomal RNA", at positions 86 to 1428 of the family's 1533-position model. Lineage: Bacteria; Bacillati; Actinomycetota; Actinomycetes; Micrococcales; Microbacteriaceae. The record is from RNAcentral.